CCUCAACCCAACCUUGUGGGACAUAUAAGCAUGCUUCACUAGGCGUUCAGUAAUCAUAAAUUCCUUUGAGCGGCUUAGUAGGUCGAUUUUGAGGAUCCAUUGAUCGUGUCUGUGAUACUCCUUCGCUUAAGCUUCCAUUUUCGAAAUCACAAAUCACAAGCAAACAAUUUCUUGGCGACCGAACAUUCUUUUCAUCCAAUACGUUCGAGGGAGGGAACAAUAUUCGUUCCGAUUUGUGAGACGAAAUCCCAACGCACACGAUAAGGG
This 267-nucleotide unclassified non-coding RNA is filed under the name Hevea brasiliensis (rubber tree). Lineage: Eukaryota; Viridiplantae; Streptophyta; Magnoliopsida; Malpighiales; Euphorbiaceae. The record is from RNAcentral.